UACGUAGGGAGCGAGCGUUAUCCGGAAUUACUGGGCGUAAAGAGCUCGUAGGCGGCCAGAUAAGUCGCAUGUUAAAGACCCAGGCUCAACCUGGGGAGUGCGCGCGAUACUGUCUGACUAGAGGACGGGAGAGGUAAGCGGAAUUCCUGGUGUAGCGGUGAAAUGCAUAGAUAUCAGGAAGAACACCAGUGGCGAAGGCGGCUUACUAGACCGUUCCUGACGCUGAGGAGCGAAAGCCAGGGGAGCAAACGGG
Molecule: ribosomal RNA, 253 nt
Filed under: uncultured bacterium
Lineage: Bacteria
Description: partial 16S ribosomal RNA
Rfam family: Bacterial small subunit ribosomal RNA
Source: RNAcentral